CCUACGGGGGGCUGCAGUGGGGAAUAUUGGACAAUGGGGGUAACCCUGAUCCAGCCAUGCCGCGUGUGUGAAGAAGGCCCUCGGGUUGUAAAGCACUUUCAGUGAGGAAGAACGCCUGGUGGUUAAUACCCAUCAGGAAAGACAUCACUCACAGAAGAAGCACCGGGUAACUCCGUGCCAGCAGCCGCGGUAAUACGGAGGGUGCGAGCGUUAAUCGGAAUUACUGGGCGUAAAGCGCGCGUAGGUGGCUUGAUAAGCCGGUUGUGAAAGCCCCGGGCUCAACUUGGGAACGGCAUCCGGAACUGUCAAGCUAGAGUGCAGGAGAGGAAGGUAGAAUUCCCGGUGUAGCGGUGAAAUGCGUAGAGAUCGGGAGGAAUACCAGUGGCGAAGGCGGCCUUCUGGACUGACACUGACACUGAGGUGCGAAAGCGUGGGUAGCAAACAGGAUUAGAUACCCGAGUAGUC
This 465-nucleotide ribosomal RNA is filed under the name Vreelandella stevensii. RNAcentral's name for it is "partial 16S ribosomal RNA". It matches the Rfam family "Bacterial small subunit ribosomal RNA", at positions 338 to 795 of the family's 1533-position model. Lineage: Bacteria; Pseudomonadati; Pseudomonadota; Gammaproteobacteria; Oceanospirillales; Halomonadaceae. The record is from RNAcentral.